RNAcentral lists this ribosomal RNA (794 nucleotides) under uncultured bacterium. RNAcentral's name for it is "bacterial SSU rRNA". It matches the Rfam family "Bacterial small subunit ribosomal RNA", at positions 704 to 1501 of the family's 1533-position model. The record is from RNAcentral.
GAAUACCGAUUGCGAAGGCGAUCUACUGGAACAUUACUGACGCUCAGAUGCGAAAGCGUGGGGAGCAAACAGGAUUAGAUACCCUGGUAGUCCACGCCCUAAACGAUGUACACUAGUUGUUGCUAUACUAGAUAUGGCAGUAAUGCAGUUAACACUUUAAGUGUACCGCCUGGGGAGUACGGUCGCAAGAUUAAAACUCAAAGGAAUAGACGGGGACCCGCACAAGCGGUGGAGCAUGUGGUUUAAUUCGACGAUACGCGAAAAACCUUACCUGGCCUUGACAUAGUAGGAAUCUUUAAGAGAUUAGAGAGUGCUAGCUUGCUAGAACCUACAUACAGGUGCUGCACGGCUGUCGUCAGCUCGUGUCGUGAGAUGUUGGGUUAAGUCCCGCAACGAGCGCAACCCACGUGAUUAGUUGCUAACGGUUCGGCCGAGAACUCUAAUCAGACUGCCUUCGUAAGGAGGAGGAAGGUGUGGACGACGUCAAGUCAUCAUGGCCCUUACGGCCAGGGCUACACACGUGCUACAAUGGGAUAUACAAAGAGUCGCAAUACCGCGAGGUGGAGCAAAUCUAGAAAAUAUCUCCCAGUUCGGAUUGUUCUCUGCAACUCGAGAACAUGAAGUUGGAAUCGCUAGUAAUCGUGGAUCAGCAUUGCCACGGUGAAUACGUUCCCGGGUCUUGUACUCACCGCCCGUCACACCAUGGGAGUUGAUUUCAUUCGAAGCGGGGAUGCUAAAGUAGCUACCUUCCACAAUGGGAUUAGCGACUGGGGUGAAGUCGUAACAAGGUAACC